GUAAAUGCACGUGACAUACAGGUUGUUUUAGCACAGUACCGUCUAACGGGCGUGCGCUAGAAGUUCUGCUGUCGCUUGCGCUUGAGGUGGAUGGCGUCGAGGAUGGGCUGCCGCUUGCGCGUGUAGAUAAUUAUCCUUUCGAACCCUGAAGUCAACUGAGAGAUCCAACGCCGUAAAUGCACGUGACAUACAGGUUGUUUUAGCACAGUAGAUCCAAGCACGUAGAUACAAGGUGGUUUAAGCACAGUACCGUCUAACGGGCGUUCGCUAGAAGUUCUGCUGCCGCUUGCGCUUGAGGUGUAUGGCGUCGAGGAUGGGCUGCCGCUUGCGCGUGUAGAUAAUUAUCCUUUCGAACCCUGAAGUCAACUGAGGGAUCCAAGCACGUAGAUACAGGGUGGUUUAAGCACAGUACCGUCUAACGGGCGUGCGCUAGAAGUUCUGCUGUCGCUUGCGCUUGAGGUGGAUGGGCUGCCGCUUGCGUGUGUAGAUAAUUAUCCUUUCGAAUCCUGAAGUCAACUGAGAGAUCCAACCACGCAAAUGCACGUAACAUACAGGUUGUUUUAGCACAGUACCGUCUACCGGGCGUGCGCUAGAAGUUCUGCUGCCGCUUGCGCUUGAGGUGGAUGGCGUCGAG
Long non-coding RNA from Ostrinia nubilalis (European corn borer), 634 nucleotides. RefSeq lists it as uncharacterized. The record is from RefSeq and is a predicted model, not a curated record. NCBI's taxonomy places the organism in Eukaryota, Metazoa, Arthropoda, Insecta, Lepidoptera, Crambidae. The transcript is spliced from 3 exons.